GCUGGGCUGGUGGCGCAUACCUGUAAUCUCAGCAGCUCGGGAGGCUGAGGCAGGAGGAUCAUGAGUUUAAAGCCAGCCUCAGCAAUUUAGUGAGACCCUGUCUCUA
This 106-nucleotide small RNA is filed under the name Marmota monax (woodchuck). The record is from RNAcentral. Lineage: Eukaryota; Metazoa; Chordata; Mammalia; Rodentia; Sciuridae.